This 531-nucleotide ribosomal RNA is filed under the name Triticum aestivum (bread wheat). RNAcentral's name for it is "partial small subunit ribosomal RNA". Lineage: Eukaryota; Viridiplantae; Streptophyta; Magnoliopsida; Poales; Poaceae. The record is from RNAcentral.
AUGACUAGCAACCCUUCAACAGUUGUUGCCUUCAUCAGGUUCAUCUGGAAAAAGUAUCUUAAUCACGCCAAGUGGCGUGUUGUUGGCCUUGACUGUGAAUACACUAGAUAUGUCCACAGCAAAGAGCGUAAGAAGCUUCCACUUGAGCAACAAGCUCAUGCCAGGAGUUUUAUCCCUCCACUUCUGCGCAACUUCCUUGACAAUGACACAGUCGAAUUUGUGGGUGCGGCCAUUGGCAAUGACGUAGAAAAAUUCAAGUUCUAUAACUUGGGUAUCAGAAAAUCUGUUGAUGUGCUGGGACUGGGUAUCAAGGUUCCUAACCAAAAAGCAGGCAAUUUGGCUUCAUUGGAGAAGCUAGCAAAGAAGGUUGCAAACAUAAGUCUUAACAAGGACAAAAGCAUCACUGUUAGUCAGUGGGAAAAGUCCAACCUGGACCAUGACCAGAUCAAGUAUGCAUGCCUGGAUGCCUAUGCGAGCUUCGAGGUUUAUAGGCGACAUUCUAACAUAACUGGUUAUCUUAGGACCCGUUGA